RNAcentral lists this ribosomal RNA (403 nucleotides) under bacterium. RNAcentral's name for it is "partial 16S ribosomal RNA". It matches the Rfam family "Bacterial small subunit ribosomal RNA", at positions 355 to 776 of the family's 1533-position model. The record is from RNAcentral.
UGGGGAAUAUUGCACAAUGGGGGAAACCCUGAUGCAGCGACGCCGCGUGAACGAAGAAGGUAUUCGUAUCGUAAAGUUCUGUCCUAUGGGAAGAUAAUGACAGUACCAUAGAAGAAAGCUCCGGCUAAAUACGUGCCAGCAGCCGCGGUAAUACGUAUGGAGCGAGCGUUGUCCGGAAUUAUUGGGCGUAAAGGGUACGCAGGCGGUUUAAUAAGUCGAAUGUUAAAGAUCGGGGCUCAACCCCGCAAAGCAUUGGAAACUGAUAAAUUUGAGUAGUGGAGAGGAAAGUGGAAUUCCUAGUGUAGUGGUGAAAUACGUAGAUAUUAGGAGGAAUACCAGUAGCGAAGGCGACUUUCUGGACACAAACUGACGCUGAGGUACGAAAGCGUGGGGAGCAAACAGG